RNAcentral lists this non-coding RNA (26 nucleotides) under Homo sapiens (human). Lineage: Eukaryota; Metazoa; Chordata; Mammalia; Primates; Hominidae. The record is from RNAcentral.
UAAACCAAGCACAGGGCCUGUCUAAG